Molecule: small RNA, 580 nt
Filed under: Pan troglodytes (chimpanzee)
Lineage: Eukaryota; Metazoa; Chordata; Mammalia; Primates; Hominidae
Description: retained intron
Source: RNAcentral
AUCUCUAUGGCUGUCAGAGGUGGGCGGCUUUGACCGAGAAGCUGCUGGAGCUCGUGUUUGGACGCGAUGUUUCGUCUGAACUCACUUUCUGCUUUGGCAGAACUGGCUGUGGGUUCUCGAUGGUACCAUGGAGGAUCACAGCCCAUCCAGAUCCGGCGAAGACUAAUGAUGGUGGCUUUCCUGGGAGCAUCUGCAGUAACUGCAAGUACUGGUCUUUUGUGGAAGAGGGCCCAUGCAGAAUCUCCACCAUGUGUAGACAACCUAAAAAGUGACAUCGGUGAUAAAGGGAAGAAUAAAGAUGAAGGGGAUGUUUGUAACCAUGAGAAAAAGACUGCAGAUCUUGCGCCUCACCCAGAAGAGAAAAAGAAGAAGCGUUCUGGAUUCAGAGACAGAAAAGUAUGAAACAUAGUCUUAUAAGUUGAUCAGAAGUAUAUCUUAAAGUAGAAUAAUGCAGUUCAAUCUUUUUAAUCAUAUGUUUCAGAUGGUUCAUCUUCACUUUCAAGUUAUCACUUCUUUGCUAUUUUCUAUCAUGUUCUAAGCCAAAAGUACUCUUGGAAUGUGAGGUUAAAGGAGGUAGUUA